AACGAACGCUGGCGGCAUGCCUAACACAUGCAAGUCGAACGAGACCUUCGGGUCUAGUGGCGCACGGGUGCGUAACGCGUGGGAACCUGCCCUUAGGUUCGGAAUAACUCCCCGAAAGGGAUGCUAAUACCGGAUAAUGUCUUCGGACCAAAGAUUUAUCGCCUUUGGAUGGGCCCGCGUUGGAUUAGCUAGUUGGUAGGGUAAAAGCCUACCAAGGCGACGAUCCAUAGCUGGUCUGAGAGGAUGAUCAGCCGCACUGGGACUGAGACACGGCCCAGACUGCUACGGGAGGCAGCAGUGGGGAAUAUUGGACAAUGGGCGAAAGCCUGAUCCAGCAAUGUCGCGUGAGUGAUGAAGGCCUUAGGGUUGUAAAGCUCUUUUACCCGGGAUGAUAAUGACAGUACCGGGAGAAUAAGCUCCGGCUAACUCCGUG
This 433-nucleotide ribosomal RNA is filed under the name uncultured bacterium. RNAcentral describes it as "partial 16S ribosomal RNA". It matches the Rfam family "Bacterial small subunit ribosomal RNA", at positions 29 to 507 of the family's 1533-position model. The record is from RNAcentral.